This is a small nucleolar RNA of Camellia sinensis, 81 nucleotides long. RefSeq annotates it as small nucleolar RNA Z155. Lineage: Eukaryota; Viridiplantae; Streptophyta; Magnoliopsida; Ericales; Theaceae. The record is from RefSeq and is a predicted model, not a curated record.
UAUUGAUAUGAUGAUAAUCGAUUCGGAAAACAUGAUGUCGAGUAAAGUAAAUCUUUCCAGACUACAAUUAUCUGAUCAAUG